Molecule: ribosomal RNA, 496 nt
Filed under: uncultured bacterium
Lineage: Bacteria
Description: partial 16S ribosomal RNA
Rfam family: Bacterial small subunit ribosomal RNA
Source: RNAcentral
GAUGAACGCUGGCGGCGUGCCUAAUACAUGCAAGUCGAGCGAACGGACGAGAAGCUUGCUUCUCUGAUGUUAGCGGCGGACGGGUGAGUAGCACGUGGAUAACCUACCUAUAAGACUGGGAUAACUUCGGGAAACCGUAGCUAAUACCGGAUAAUAUUUUGAACCGCAUGGUUCAAAAGUGAAAGACGGUCUUGCUGUCACUUAUAGAUGGAUCCGCGCUGCAUUAGCUAGUUGGUAAGGUAACGGCUUACCAAGGCAACGAUGCAUAGCCGACCUGAGAGGGUGAUCGGCCACACUGGAACUGAGACACGGUCCAGACUCCUACGGGAGGCAGCAGUAGGGAAUCUUCCGCAAUGGGCGAAAGCCUGACGGAGCAACGCCGCGUGAGUGAUGAAGGUCUUCGGAUCGUAAAACUCUGUUAUUAGGGAAGAACAUAUGUGUAAGUAACUGUGCACAUCUUGACGGUACCUAAUCAGAAAGCCACGGCUAACUACGU